AAGAAGCAAAAGGAUCUGGUGCCUGUGUCUGCCACUCCUGAGAAGAAUUAGCAGCCCUCUGGGAGGGAGUGUGUUGCUAUGGUAAGAAGGAAGGCUGUCGUCCUGGUCCUAAGAGCACUGGAACUGUGGCACCAGUAAAAUGCAAGACUCAGACACCGAAAAUUGAUUUGUGGGGGAAGCGCCAAUCAUAGUACAGAGUCUGAGAAUUGGAAUCUUGAGAAUGGGGAAGCAAGACAACCCAGGUAGUCCUCCUGUCUUACUUGUACUCUGUAUAUACAUGUUGCAUAAUCUUUACCGGUUGCCUUAAGGAACAAGCAUGUGCUUAGUACAGAAAGGAAAACCACCAAGGCACUAAGUCACUCAGAGACAAUUGAAAAUUAACAGGAUCUGUACAAACUGAACGUCAUAAAAAUUCCAAGUCCAGGCUCUGUCCUUCUGACGUAUUACACAAAGCAUGGGCACUGUCUGAGCAAACUCAGGGGAGACAGCUCAGCCAUAGCACUGGCCAGACAAACAGCAACAGAUGUUUGUUGAAUGAAUGGACACAUUAAUGAAUCCCAAUUGCCCUUCAAGUGCUCCAGAUACGGAGAAAGGAAACCGAUGGAUGACACAUCUAAUUUCAUCCCUACCAUCCACCCUGGACGGGGAAAUAGAUUCCCAUUUUACAGGUCAGAACUCUCAAGGUCAGGAUUGAGGAACCAGCUGAGCUGAUCUACCUGGCUGCCCCAGGGAGGUCAG
RNAcentral lists this long non-coding RNA (738 nucleotides) under Rattus norvegicus (Norway rat). RNAcentral describes it as "long non-coding RNA NONRATT016752". Lineage: Eukaryota; Metazoa; Chordata; Mammalia; Rodentia; Muridae. The record is from RNAcentral.